Molecule: ribosomal RNA, 495 nt
Filed under: uncultured bacterium
Lineage: Bacteria
Description: bacterial SSU rRNA
Rfam family: Bacterial small subunit ribosomal RNA
Source: RNAcentral
GAUGAACGCUAGCGGCAGGCUUAAUACAUGCAAGUCGAGGGGCAGCGGGGGUAGCAAUACCUGCCGGCAACCGGCAAACGGGUGCGGAACACGUACAGAACCUUCCUUUAAGUGGGGGAGUAGCCCGGAGAAAUCCGGAUUAAUACCCCGUAACAUUGUGUGGUGGCAUCAUCAUAUAAUUAUAGAUUUAUCGCUUAGAGAUGGCUGUGCGGCUGAUUAGGUAGUUGGUGAGGUAAAGGCUCACCAAGCCAGCGAUCAGUAACUGGUGUGAGAGCACGACCAGUCACACGGGCACUGAGACACGGGCCCGACUCCUACGGGAGGCAGCAGUAAGGAAUAUUGGUCAAUGGACGCAAGUCUGAACCAGCCAUGCCGCGUGAAGGAUGAAGGCCCUCUGGGUUGUAAACUUCUUUUAUAGGGGACGAAAUGCAGUUAUUUCUUAAUUUGUUUUGACGGUACCCGUAGGAAUAAGCACCGGCUAACUCCGUGCCAGCA